GGUGUAUCGGUACAGCCAGCAGGGUGUACUGGUACAUUGCACAGGCUGCGCGCAGACUGCUCUCGGGUUGGCUUCUUGUAUCGGUACGCGAGCCCGUGUACCGGUACGCCAGGGUAGGUGAGAGGGCAAUUGAGUCUUUUCUCACAUCGUUCGUGUCACCACUCCACCCCUUUGCUAUUUACAGGUGUAGAGAGCUUGAGAAGGAGUAUUCUUCCUGCUUCUUCUUCUCCUCUCUCUCUCUAGCUAAAUCGAUCGUGGAGGAGCUCGGGUAGAGUGUUUCGUCGCCAACGCCGUGUCGCGGAGCCGUUCGGGCGCGCGUUUGUUGCUGUAACAUUGCGAGGGGGGCCGGGCAAGCAUGGAAUUUCGCCGUUCUCGACGUCGCGCCGGUGCUAGAGUCGCUGUUGAGAUUUCCAACGUCGACCAUCGGCGUUUCGACUCGUACGCGACGUAAGAGUGUCGGAUUGCGACGAAACUUGGUUCGUUGGAUUCAGAACUUCGAGAGUAAUCCAGAAGCCCAAGUUUGUAGGAUUUGGUGAAGAGCUUGGAGUUAGCUCGAAUACUGGACUGGGAGGAUUUCAGUUGAUCCAGCAGGUUGUUCCGCAGUUGAGGGAGUUCUUUGCUACCUGGGAUUAGCU
Ananas comosus (pineapple) is the source of this 635-nucleotide long non-coding RNA. RefSeq lists it as uncharacterized. The record is from RefSeq and is a predicted model, not a curated record. Lineage: Eukaryota; Viridiplantae; Streptophyta; Magnoliopsida; Poales; Bromeliaceae. The transcript is spliced from 3 exons.